Molecule: ribosomal RNA, 492 nt
Filed under: uncultured bacterium
Lineage: Bacteria
Description: partial 16S ribosomal RNA
Rfam family: Bacterial small subunit ribosomal RNA
Source: RNAcentral
AGUGAACGCUGGCGGUAGGCCUAACACAUGCAAGUCGAACGGCAGCACAGUAAGAGCUUGCUCUUACGGGUGGCGAGUGGCGGACGGGUGAGGAAUACAUCGGAAUCUACUUUUUCGUGGGGGAUAACGUAGGGAAAAUUACGCUAAUACCGCAUACGACCUACGGGUGAAAGCAGGGGAUCUUCGGACCUUGCGCGAUUGAAUGCGCCGAUGUCGGAUUAGCUAGUUGGCGGGGUAAAGGCCCACCAAGGCGACGAUCCGUAGCUGGUCUGAGAGGAGGAUCAGCGACACUGGGACUGAGACACGGUCCAGACACCUACGAGAGGCAGCAGUGGGGAAUAUUGGACAAUGGGCGCAAGCCUGAUCCAGGCAUACCGCGUGAGUGAAGAAGGCCUUCGGGUUGUAAAGGCCUUUUGUUGGGAAAGAAAAGCAGCAGGUUAAUACCCCGCUGUUCUGACGGUACCCAAAGAAUAAGCACCGGCUAACUUCGUG